GAUGAAGAACGUAGCGAAAUGCGAUAAGUAAUGUGAAUUGCAGAAUUCAGUGAAUCAUCGGAUCUUUGAACGCACCUUGCGCCCUUUGGACAUUCCGAAGGGCAUGCCUGUUUGAGUAUCAUGAACACCUCAACUCUCAUGGCUUGUCUGUGAUGAGCUUGGACUUUGGGGGUCUUGCUGGCCUGUGGUCGGCUCCUCUCAAAUGGAUCAGCUUGCCAGUGUUUGGUGGCAUCACAGGUGUGAUAACUAUCUGCGCUUGUGGUUUUCCAUCAGAUAACCUUCAGUGAUAUGGAGGUUCGCUGGAGCUCACAAAUGUCUCUCCUUAGUGAGGACAGCCCUUUGAACGUUUGAUCUCAAAUCAGGUAGGACUACCCGCUGAACUUAAGCAUAUCAAUAAGCGGAGGA
This 405-nucleotide unclassified non-coding RNA is filed under the name soil metagenome. RNAcentral describes it as "partial contains 5.8S ribosomal RNA, internal transcribed spacer 2, and large subunit ribosomal RNA". The stretch from base 1 to 121 matches the Rfam family "5.8S ribosomal RNA", at positions 35 to 154 of the family's 154-position model. The record is from RNAcentral.